AGUGAACGCUGGCGGUAGGCCUAACACAUGCAAGUCGAACGGCAGCACAGUAAGAGCUUGCUCUUACGGGUGGCGCGUGGCGGACGGGUGAGGAAUACAUCGGAAUCUACUUUUUCGUGGGGGAUAACGUAGGGAAACUUACGCUAAUACCGCAUACGACCUACGGGUGAAAGCAGGGGAUCUUCGGACCUUGCGCGAUUGAAUGCGCCGAUGUCGGAUUAGCGAGUUGGCGGGGUAAAGGCCCACCAAGGCGACGAUCCGUAGCAGGUCUGAGAGGAUGAUCAGCCACACUGGAACGGAGACACGGUCCAGACUCCUACGGGAGGCAGCAGUGGGGAAUAUUGGACAAUGGGCGCAAGCCUGAUCCAGCCAUACCGCGUGGGUGAAGAAGGCCUUCGGGUUGUAAAGCCCUUUUGUUGGGAAAGAAAAGCAGCAGGUUAAUACCCCGCUGUUCUGACGGUACCCAAAGAAUAAGCACCGGCUAACUUCGUG
RNAcentral lists this ribosomal RNA (492 nucleotides) under uncultured bacterium. Its description in RNAcentral is "partial 16S ribosomal RNA". It matches the Rfam family "Bacterial small subunit ribosomal RNA", at positions 29 to 507 of the family's 1533-position model. The record is from RNAcentral.